AAGACAUCAGUGGGAACAGAGGUGCUGGUUGUUUUCCCACCGACUGUUCUGGUGGGUGGGAGCGACGUCAGCAGGAGGCGCAGCCGAGACUUGGCCCUUCCCUGCGUGGCCGGAGCACUGGGCGGCCAGGGCAGGAAGAGCAGAGCGGGGUGUGGGGAGCACAGCCGGUGGUUACCCAGGGGGUCAGUGCGCCUUGCUUCAUCCCCUCUUUUGCUGUCAGUGAAGCCAAUUAUCCCCAGGUGACAGAGGAAAUUGCCCAGGUCAUGCUGCUGGUGAGUGGUAGCCUGGGGCUGCCCUGGGUGGCCUGGCGGUGCAGCUGAGUUGCUCCAAUGCCACCCUCUUCCCACACAGUCACUGCAGGCAGCCCUGAGGCGUGGAGCAGAUGUGGAGUGGUACCAGGUCCCCCUAUGGGGCAGCCGUGUUAAUUGAGAAGAACAGGGUGGAGGUGGGGGGAACAAGGUGUCAGAACAUGAGGGGCUGAGGACAUUCUCAGGGCAGCAAUGAGUCUUUCUCUGAAGGACUCUACACCAAGGAAUGACAGAAUCAGACCAGUUUAACACAAAUCCCGAAGGUCCCUUCCCCAAAAGGAUCAGCUGCAUUGUCAUGUAAGCAGCUUCUUAGAAGCACAACCCGCCUAUGCAUUGAUUCUCCCCUGUCCCGCUGCCAGGACCCCAGGACACUGUUAUCCUGCAUCGAUUUCAGGUACAUCACCGAUGCUCUAACUGAGCAGGAGGCCUAUGAAAUACUGCAGAAAGGUCAAGUUGGUAAAAAAGAAAGAGAAGAGCAGAUGCUGGCACGCGGCUACCCUGCCUACACCACGUCAUGCGCCUGGCUGGGGUACACAGAUGACACGUUGAAGCAG
Molecule: long non-coding RNA, 862 nt
Organism: Galeopterus variegatus (Sunda flying lemur)
Lineage: Eukaryota; Metazoa; Chordata; Mammalia; Dermoptera; Cynocephalidae
Exons: 3
Source: RefSeq, a predicted model, not a curated record